This 301-nucleotide ribosomal RNA is filed under the name uncultured bacterium. RNAcentral's name for it is "partial 16S ribosomal RNA". It matches the Rfam family "Bacterial small subunit ribosomal RNA", at positions 509 to 807 of the family's 1533-position model. The record is from RNAcentral.
CAGCAGCCACGGUAAUACGUAGGUGGCAAGCGUUGUCCGGAAUUAUUGGGCGUAAAGGGCUCGCAGGCGGUUUCUUAAGUCUGAUGUGAAAGCCCCCGGCUCAACCGGGGAGGGUCAUUGGAAACUGGGAAACUUGAGUGCAGAAGAGGAGAGUGGAGUUCCACGUGUAGCGGUGAAAUGCGUAGAGAUGUGGAGGAACACCAGUGGCGAAGGCGACUCUCUGGUCUGUAACUGACGCUGAGGAGCGAAAGCGUGGGGAGCGAACAGGAUUAGAUACCCGCGUAGUCCCUGUCUCUUAUAC